AAUGCUACUAAUGUAUGAAAUAGUAAAUAAUACAUGAAUAGCAUAAAUGAGAUCCUCACUUUUCUUGGAUAGUCAAAUGACAACUUCUGAGGCCACAGGUUGCUGCUGUUGUCCUGUGAACAGCAGUCUCACUUGCUGAGCGCCUGCAGCAGUAUCUCAGUGCCGAGGAAUCAACUGGGGAGGUCUACAGACCAGACCAUUCAUGUAUAAGAACAUAAGAAAACCUCCCAGAGAUUAUAGACUUUGAGCACACUGCAAAUGGCCUAAAAUGAAACUGACAUAUCAAAUGUUUAUUGGGGGAGAGUGCUCAACACAAAAGGAGUGUGUAAAAAAAAUUAUUUGUGAAGAUCACCAAAGGAAUAAAUUUUUUCAUCCAAAAAUAAUCCCACAUCAGCCAUCUUACUGGAACCUGGCAAUUACAAACAGGCAAUAUUCACUCAAUAGUAUGUAUAUGGGGGAUCCCUGGGUGGUGCAGCGGUUUAGCGCCUGCCUUUGGUCGAGGGCGCAGUCCUGGAGACCCGGGAUCGAAUCCCAUGUCGGGCUCCCUGCAUGGAGCCUGCUUCUCCCUCUGCCUGUGUCUCUGCCUCUCUCUCUCUCUCUGUGUCUGACUAUCAUGAAUAAAUAAAUUAAAAAAAAUAGUAUGUAUAUGUAUUUU
RNAcentral lists this long non-coding RNA (655 nucleotides) under Vulpes vulpes (red fox). RNAcentral's name for it is "lncRNA (ENSVVUG00000020660.1)". The record is from RNAcentral. Lineage: Eukaryota; Metazoa; Chordata; Mammalia; Carnivora; Canidae.